RNAcentral lists this ribosomal RNA (481 nucleotides) under uncultured bacterium. RNAcentral's name for it is "partial 16S ribosomal RNA". It matches the Rfam family "Bacterial small subunit ribosomal RNA", at positions 28 to 507 of the family's 1533-position model. The record is from RNAcentral.
GAUGAACGCUGGCGGCGUGCUUAACACAUGCAAGUCGAACGAAGCACUUUAUUUGAUUUCCUUCGGGACUGAUUAUUUUGUGACUGAGUGGCGGACGGGUGAGUAACGCGUGGGUAACCUGCCUUGUACGGGGGGAUAACAGUUGGAAACGGCUGCUAAUACCGCAUAAGCGCACAGCAUCGCAUGAUGCAGUGUGAAAAACUCCGGUGGUAUAAGAUGGACCCGCGUUGGAUUAGCUAGUUGGUGAGGUAACGGCCCACCAAGGCGACGAUCCAUAGCCGACCUGAUAGGGUGACCGGACACAUUGGGACUGAGACACGGCCCAAAAGCCUACGGGAGGCAGCAGUGGGGAAUAUUGCACAAUGGGCGAAAGCCUGAUGCAGCGACGCCGCGUGAGCGAAGAAGUAUUUCGGUAUGUAAAGCUCUAUCAGCAGGGAAGAUAAUGACGUUACCUGACUAAGAAGCACCGGCUAAAUACGUG